CCGCAUGCAACAACUGCGUGUACUCACUCACAAAUCCUGGGAUCUGCACACAAAGCAGCACAAUAAGUCGACCCAUGAGGAGGAAGUCCUUUGAAAUUUGGCGCGCCAGUCCCUGGGCUUCCUUGCGCUUGAAUGUACGUCACAUCCGGCUCCGCCCUGAUUGGCUGACGGCCAGGGCGCCUUUCGCAGCAGCAGCAGCAGCAGCAGGACGGGCCUGUGUGAGGAGGACAAAUGUCAGAGGAUCACAGACAAAGAGACAGUUGGGACGAGUUUUUUUCCUUCUGUAGGGGAACAGAUGUUUGUUAUGUAACUCUUGUCCUCGCUCUAGUUUUUCUCUUCCUUACUGCAUGAAAACUUUUUUAAAUAAAUGUCUCAAACAUC
Molecule: long non-coding RNA, 381 nt
Organism: Notolabrus celidotus (New Zealand spotty)
Lineage: Eukaryota; Metazoa; Chordata; Actinopteri; Labriformes; Labridae
Exons: 2
Source: RefSeq, a predicted model, not a curated record